RNAcentral lists this long non-coding RNA (1497 nucleotides) under Pongo abelii (Sumatran orangutan). Its description in RNAcentral is "lincRNA". The record is from RNAcentral. Lineage: Eukaryota; Metazoa; Chordata; Mammalia; Primates; Hominidae.
AAGGAUAUGUUUACUUCCCCUUCUGCCAUGAUUGUAAGUUUCCUGAGGCUUCCCCAGCCAUUCGGAACUGGCUGCAGUGGCACCUGCUAUAUGAGGCUGAGAGGAGAGGCUGCUCAGACGCAGAGAGCCCAGUUGAAAUCUACCCACACUUGCUAUUAAACCACAAGCUGUCCACACAAAGAACAAAAACCAACCAAGAGCUGUGGUUUUUGCAACCACAAAGGGCCCAGAGUUUCCCUUGUGAAUGAGCUCAGCAUCCUCACGUUUCCAAGAGGAAUGAACACUGCAAUUCCUCGGACUACGGUGGCUCGCUUCCCAGCACACCCUUGCUGUGACCUGCACCCCUGCAUUGUCCUCAAAGACACACUAAGAAAACACAUUUCAGAAGGAAGGACCUAACAGAGCCCAGGAUCCAGUUCUGCGUUUGGUGUGGCCCCAAAGACACUGUGUGCAGAGUCAGAAAUAUGGUUCCCAGUUGGACUCCAUGGGAUACUGUUUCAAAAGAGCUAUCAUUCUUGUCUGUUUACCACAUAUCUUGUUGUAAUACGCUCUUCUUUUCCAGAAUUUUUUAUUUUCCCUGGCAUUUUGUGUUUUGGUAAUUGCCUACAAGAAUAGUUCUAUAACAUAAAUCAACAAUGAAAACCAAAUUACCCCUGCCCACAUCCUUUCAUUCCUUUUUCAUCUCUAAUGAUAUUUUCUGUAUGAUGACUAACCCAGACUGACGUAAUUUAUCAAUUGAUCUUGACGAUGUACAUUAGAAAAUGCGUUCUGCAGGCCCCAGCAGGCCAUCUUCCAUGUGUGCCACGUAGCUUUAGAAAACCUAUUAGUGCAACAGAAAUAUCUAAAGCCCAGCCUUUUUGCUAAGAAUAUUAGAACCGGUGCUAAUUACUUUAUUAAUCAUAAAGUGAAACAGCAGUACUAUGUCACCACAGCUGUAAAAUAAGUGGUUUUAUGGCAAAAGUAGUUAAAGAGAAAGGACAGAUUGGAUUUAUAAUACUCAGCUGGUUAAAAAAAAGAAAUUAUGCAUACCAGCAAUUUUCUUUCUUUGGUUAAAUGUUCAUUAAAUGUGUACCACUAAAAACCAUUUGUAACUAAUUCCCUAGUGGGUCCAUGCCCUAAAAGAAUUUAUUUUAAAAUACAAAUUAAGGCUUAAAUUUGCCUUUUUAUUAAAAAUAGGUAUAAUGAGUCAACAUAUCUCCUGAGAGAAAGGAGAGUUGCAGACAUGCUGAUGAGAGGAAUCUUGUCGCCAAAACCUGGAGGCCAUGCUGAUGUUGGGGACUUAGGCUAUGCUGCAGGUGCCUGUCACCAUUAAGGGCGGUAGAAUUCAGAGGCUUUGGUCCAGGUUAAAGCCCAGAGGCGGCCACUGUCUGAAGACAGGGACACCACAGUGACCAUCAUUGAGGGCGAUGUUUACACUUCCAUUGUUAGGUUAGAUAUUUUGUUUUCUUUAAAGUCAGUAUUGUCUCUGAGUAAAUAAAAAUAAUCUCCAGUUUCUGC